Molecule: ribosomal RNA, 253 nt
Filed under: uncultured bacterium
Lineage: Bacteria
Description: partial 16S ribosomal RNA
Rfam family: Bacterial small subunit ribosomal RNA
Source: RNAcentral
UACAGAGGUCUCGAGCGUUAGGCGGAAUCACUGGGCUUAAAGCGUGUGUAGGUGGAUCGUUAAGUACCUUGUGAAAUCCCACGGCUUAACCGUGGAACUGCUUGGUAUACUGGCGGUCUUGAGCAACCUAGGGGCGAGCGGAACAAAUGGUGGAGCGGUGAAAUGCGUAGAUAUCAUUUGGAACGCCAAUGAUGAAAACAGCUCGCUGGGGGUUUGCUGACGCUGAGACACGAAAGCCAGGGGAGCAAACGGG